UUUUCGAAAGGGUAAACCCCGGGUGACCGGGGGGCACAAAGCCUACGGCUCCUGGGUAUGCGGCUUCAGGAGGGCCGGGUUACCGAA
Molecule: non-coding RNA, 87 nt
Filed under: Geoalkalibacter ferrihydriticus
Lineage: Bacteria; Pseudomonadati; Thermodesulfobacteriota; Desulfuromonadia; Desulfuromonadales; Geoalkalibacteraceae
Also listed under: 1 other name
Description: c-di-GMP sequence
Rfam family: c-di-GMP-I riboswitch aptamer
About the family: GEMM was predicted in a large-scale screen for bacterial structured RNA regulatory elements.
Source: RNAcentral